Molecule: non-coding RNA, 4850 nt
Organism: Oncorhynchus keta (chum salmon)
Lineage: Eukaryota; Metazoa; Chordata; Actinopteri; Salmoniformes; Salmonidae
Source: the annotation of a RefSeq genome assembly
GGUGUAUACAUCAGAAGAAUGACUGUCUCAAAGCUUUUUUAACCAUAUAUAUAUAUAUAUGGUUAAAAAAGCUUUGAGACAGUCAUUCUUCUGAUGUGUCAUGAUGCGUGCCUGCCUUUUUCUGUUGUGGAGUACUCUCUCAGCUACUUGGACAAACCAAAUAAUUGUGACCCAGACACCUGGUGUGGUGAAGAUGAUAGCCAGUGGCACGGUGACUUUGAAGUGCCACGUUGAUCAGAUUCUCGCCUUUUGCCACUCAGUGACUUGGAUGAAAGUAGACGCCAGGACUGGAACAAUGAGCACAAGAACUAACGUAAAGAUUAAUACGACCUCUGAGGUAGGGAAACGGGACAGAGUAUGUUUGGCAACCAUCACCAACGCAUUAGUGAGCGACUCUGGCAUGUACUACUGUUUGGCUGUUCACUCCAAGGCGGUCCACACUGGCAACGGAUCCAAUCUAAUCGUCACAGAGAGCAGCACUGAAUCCCCAAACAUCAAAAUCGUCUCAUCAGACAGCGACGGCUCAUCCGCCGCUCUGCUGUGUUUGGUGUCUGGAGUGGUCCCGUCUCAAGUCCAUGUGUUCUGGCUCAUAGACGGGAGAGAGGACAGUGGACUUACUGAGUCCACCUGGACAGACAACAGUGAUUCAGCCACAGAGUUCACUAGGAACCAGAUUCUGGUCCAGGCAGAGGAGUGGGACAGAGGGGUUCAGUGUACGUGUGUGGUGGAGUUUGAGGGAAAUUCUAUCAACAAAACUGUGCAAAGAAUAGAUUUUGCCGUGCUGUGUUACGUCACAGUGUGGAUAUACAGACUCCUGGGAAUAACUGCCUGGCUUCUGCUGUUGAUCCUGGCUACCACUGUGGCAGCAUGCAGGGGCAGGACUAGAGGUGUUCAGAGGAAGGAUACCUCAAAGAACAGGGGACGAAGGCAUAAUUCAUCAUAAAAAGGUUUUACAGUUUGUCAUUUGUACAAAGUCAUUUUGGUCGCAUUGUCGUGUGUCAAGACCAUUGGGAAAAGUUGUUUAUUUUUGUUGUUGUUGUCGUCGCUUGCUUAACUGUUGCUAACUAUUCAAAAAUGAAAGUGUAAAUUGGGAAAAAGCUCAUUAGAAUUUCAAAUUGCAGUUAUAUAUUUUUUCUCAUAGAACAUAUUCAUACUGAAUUAUAAUCCACUGUAAAUGCUCUCUGAUUACAAAGUCCUGGGUCAGAUAUCCACUUUUUUUCUUAUUCGAAACCUUUGCGCGAGUGAUCGAAAUGUUAUUGAAUUCCCCUCUGUGAACCACACUUUGCUACGCUUCAUGCAGGCAACUGUGUCGUUACAGACUUCGAAUGAAUCCAUUUCAAGAAAAUGUCCAUGUUUAAAAAGAUGCAAUACAAUAGUAUUGCUACAUUCCUAUAUUCUCAUGCUAUGCUGUUACUGGCUUAUUUGCUAAAGUAAGAAACUUUUCCAGAAAUCCUCACCAUCUGUUUUGACUACUAACUUGUAAAGGAGAGACAUGAUACCCAACUAUUUCUCUUAAUAAGUGCAUAUCAGAUAAUCAAAUGAAAUCACAUUUUAUUUGUCACAAUGCACCGAAUACAACAGGUGUGGACUUGACCGUCAAAUGCUUCCUUAGGAGCCCUUUUCCACCAACGCAGAGUUAAAACGUUUAUUUUUAUGUGCUAAAUAAAAAAAGGAAAUAAUAACACAGAUACGUGCAUAUUUUAUGAUAAAGUAAUUGCAAUAACUGUCCUUCAAAUGAAGUAAGCCGUGUGCAGCACCGUCGCUUAUCCAAAUCAUCUUAUUUAGUCCAACAGACUAAAUGUGUAAACGUGUCCUAUGUGAGAAAGGGCGACAUUAUUGCUGGUCUCUGUCGUUUUGCUUUCAUUUCUGAAAGAGGAGGUCAGAGACCUGGCAGUGUGGUAACAGAUUAACAACCUCUCUCUCAAUGUGGGCAAGACAGAGGGCCGAACAGGCCCUCAUUAACAUCGAUGGGACUGAAGUUGAGCGGGUCGAGAGUUUCAAGUUCCUUGGUGUCCACAUCACCAACAAAGUAUCAUGGUCCAAACACACCAAGACAGCUGUGAAGUGGGCACGACAACACCUUUCCCCCUCAGGAGACUGAAAAUAUUUGGCAUGGGUCCCCAAAUCCUCAAAUACAGCUGCACCGGUGAGAGCAUGCUGACCGGUUGCAUCAUCGCCUGGUAAGGCAACUCCUUGGCAUCUGACCGUAAGGAGCUGCAGAGGGUAGUGCGAACGGCCCAGUACAUCACUGGGGCCAAGCUCCCUGACAUCCAGAACCUAUAUACUAGGCGGUGUCAGAGGGAAGCUCAAAAAAUAGUCAAAGACUCCAGUCACCCAAGUCAUAGACUGUUUUCUCUGCUACCGUACGGCAAGCGGUACCAGAGCGCCAAGUCUAGGAACAAAAGGCUCCUUAACAGAUUCUACCCCCAAGCCAUAAGACUGCUGAGCAACUCUAUUACUUGAACUGCAUUGUUGGUUAAAGGCUUGUAAGGAAGCAUUUCACGGUAAGGUCUACUACACCUGUUGUAUUCGGCGCAUGUGACAAAUAAAAUUUGAUUUGAUUUUUGGUUUAAAAAAAUGGUACAGUAAGCAACUCCAAAGCAUGGAUUGCAGUAAUUCCUUAUCUAUAGACUACUUUGAGAGGUAAUGAAAUGAAUGAAUUAAGGAAUGAAUGAAUGAAUUAAUUGUAUUAUUUGAGUGUACCUAUCGCUUUUAAAUGUCAUUGCCAGGUAAAUGAAUGGGAAGAGCAUGAUUUCGUUCAGAGAAUGAACUGCCAGACAUAUUCUUUGUCCAUUUUUGGGGUUGCUACAGAUUUGUCAGUCGAUAACAUAGAGGCCUCCUCUUCCUUCCUGCCCUACAUCUCAUAGACUAUAUGCCAAUGAACAGCCAUUUCAUUCAACCCGUUUCCAAAUGAGGAGUUAAAACAUGCAGGCUAAUUUAAAUAGAGUAAUAACAUUUUCAUAUGGAAAAGUAGAAAGCUUGGUAUACAGUGCAUUCAGAAAGUAUUCAGACCCUUUCACAUUUUCCACAUUUUGUUACGUUACAGCCUUAUUCUAAAAUUGAUUAAAUCAAUAAAAAUCGUCAUCAAUCUACACACAAUACCCCAUAAUGACAAAACAAAAACAGGUUUUUAGAAAUGUUUACAAAUGUAUUAUUAAAUAAAAGAUAAUACAGUAUUUACAUAAGUAUUCAGACCCUUUGCUAUGAGACUCGAAAUUGAGCUCAGGUGCAUCCUGUUUCCAUUGAUUAUCCUUAAAAUGUUUCUACAACUUGAUUGAAGUCCACCUGUGGUAAAUUCAAUUGACUGGACAUGAUUUGGAAAGGUACACACCUGUCUAUAUAAGGUCCCACAGUUAACUGUGCAUGUCAGAGCAAAAACCAAGCCAUGAGGUCGAAGGAAUUGUCCUUAGAGCUCCAAGACAUGAUUGUGUCAAGGCAUAGAUCUGGGGAAGGGUACCAAAAAAUGUCUGCAGCAUUGAAGGCCUCGAAGAACACAGUUGCCCCCAUCAUUCUUAAAUGGAAGACUCUUCCUAGAGCUGGCCGCCCGGCCAAACUGAGAAAUUGGGGGAGAAGGGCCUUGGUUAGGGAGGUGACCAAGAACCCGAUGGUUACUCUGACAGAAGGAAGCCACUCCUCAGUAAAAGGCACAUGACAUCCCGCUUCGAGUUUGCCAAAAGGCACAUAAAGGACUCUCAGACCAUGAUUCUCUGAUCUGAAGAAACCAAGAUUGAAUGCCAAGCAUCACGUCUGGAGGAAACCUGGCACCAUCACUACGGUGAAGCAUGGUGGUGGCAGCAUCAUGCUGUGGAUAUGUUAUUCAGCGUCAGGGACUGGAAGACAAAAUAUAUCAUUCUCAACACCUGCUUUGGCUUUGUCAUUAUGGGGUAUUGUGUGUAUAUUGAUGAGGGGAAAAACAAUUGAAUCAAUUUUAGAUUAAGGCUGUCACGUAACAAAAUGUGUAAAAAGUCAAGGGGUCUGAGUACUUUCCGAAUUGCUGAAAAUGACAUGAGAUCUGUAGCUGAGAAUGAGACUGAGUGGCAGAGUAGACCUAAAUGUGGUUUGCGUUCUGUUCAUAAUUUUGCCAGAACAGUGGACAGAAAGAAACACACAAUCAAGUCAGGAGGUACAGCAGUGGCUUGUGGUUUGAAGAGGCGACACUGACUGAGGUGGGCUUUCAAGGCAAAUGUCAUAGGUCGACUUCUGAAGAAUUCAUGCACUCAUGAAAAAAAAAUCCCCUUGCAAUUGUUGUGACAUUUUGUGCUCUUUGUCACCUCCAACUAAAUCAUUUUGGAAAAAAAUACAGAGGUAAUGAUCAUCAUCAUCAUUUGUGUCAGUUCCAUUUCAAUUAAAUAUAUAUGUUUUUAAACUUAUGCAACUGGCACUGCCUAGCGUUGAAACAAUGGAGACCACUAACUACCUCUUCAUUUUAAGAGGUUGCUAACCAGAAUGGUAGCAUCAGUUGUCUGCAGUCCCUUUUUACUCAGUGGUAUGGCCUCACAACCUUAAUCAGGUCAAAGAAAAGACCACCAUGUUGCACAUUUAGUUUGGAGAGCAUUUCAGUCUGUGUCCACUUUUGAUUCAAUUGUUGUUGACAUGCCAAAUGAAUAAAGCCACUUUGAAUUAGCUAAAGAAGAGUGUAUAAACUGUAAAGACGUACCUUGUAAAUAUAUACUGAUGUAAACAAACCAUUUUUGCUUAUAAUUACUUGGACUGAAAAAAUUUACUGAUAUACCUUAGAAUAUAACAUCCUCCUGAAUCUGUCACGGACUGCAUCGAGAGACAGCUUUCUACAAAACUACAUAAAUGUCUCUGUAAUAUCUUUCAGAAAUGGUUUUGAAAUUAAAAGCACA